GGAGGAUCUAAACUCUGCCGUGAU
This 24-nucleotide non-coding RNA is filed under the name Arabidopsis thaliana (thale cress). Lineage: Eukaryota; Viridiplantae; Streptophyta; Magnoliopsida; Brassicales; Brassicaceae. The record is from RNAcentral.